UGGGGAAUAUUGGACAAUGGGCGCAAGCCUGAUCCAGCCAUGCCGCGUGUGUGAAGAAGGCCUCUUGGUUGUAAAGCACUUUAAGCGAGGAGGAGGCUACUUGGAUUAAUACUCUAGGAUAGUGGACGUUACUCGCAGAAUAAGCACCGGCUAACUCUGUGCCAGCAGCCGCGGUAAUACAGAGGGUGCGAGCGUUAAUCGGAUUUACUGGGCGUAAAGCGUGCGUAGGCGGCUUCUUAAGUCGGAUGUGAAAUCCCUGAGCUUAACUUAGGAAUUGCAUUCGAUACUGGGAAGCUAGAGUAUGGGAGAGGAUGGUAGAAUUCCAGGUGUAGCGGUGAAAUGCGUAGAGAUCUGGAGGAAUACCGAUGGCGAAGGCAGCCAUCUGGCCUAAUACUGACGCUGAGGUACGAAAGCAUGGGGAGCAAACAGG
Molecule: ribosomal RNA, 430 nt
Filed under: Bacillota bacterium
Lineage: Bacteria; Bacillati; Bacillota
Description: Firmicutes bacterium partial 16S ribosomal RNA
Rfam family: Bacterial small subunit ribosomal RNA
Source: RNAcentral